RNAcentral lists this small nucleolar RNA (105 nucleotides) under Meriones unguiculatus (Mongolian gerbil). Its description in RNAcentral is "Small nucleolar RNA SNORA17 (ENSMUGG00000016969.1)". It matches the Rfam family "Small nucleolar RNA SNORA17". From Rfam's summary of the family: snoRNA ACA 17 belongs to the H/ACA family of snoRNAs and is predicted to guide pseudouridylation of the 28S rRNA at positions U4659 and U4598. It shares the same host gene together with ACA43. Lineage: Eukaryota; Metazoa; Chordata; Mammalia; Rodentia; Muridae. The record is from RNAcentral.
CCUAGAAGCAUUGCAGGUGUGACUGCUGUGUCAGGGAGGAGAGAGGCUGUGUCUAUGCUCAGUGUUCUGAUCUGUGAACAUCUGAGUGAUUAUUAGCCUAACACC